Triticum dicoccoides is the source of this 1384-nucleotide long non-coding RNA. RefSeq lists it as uncharacterized. The record is from RefSeq and is a predicted model, not a curated record. The transcript has 4 exons. NCBI's taxonomy places the organism in Eukaryota, Viridiplantae, Streptophyta, Magnoliopsida, Poales, Poaceae.
GGCUCCAAAGAAAAUAAAGCCGCCGGCCCGAGCAGUUCUUCCCCAAAUCGACCAUCCCUCCAACAACCUUACCACCGCCCCUUCCAAACCCUAGAUCUGGGCAGUCCGUUCUUCCCCUUCCCCGUGCGCCGCCGCCCCUACAUCUCUUCCUCUCCCUCUCCGAUGCACACACUCCCUGCUACGGCCUCACAUCGCUGGCCUGCCUUUGGAUGGAACCGUCCUGGCCUAGUCCUUGCCAGAUCUGGCCGCACCGGUCGUCGGUGCUGCUGGAUAUGGCCGCUCCGGGCUUCAUCACCACCACCCCGAGUGUGCACCUCUCCACCGCCACUUUCCCGUCGUCUUCACAUCCGCCUCGCCCAGUUCCAGAGUAGUCGCGUGUCUCCUGAGGAGCCCGACCCCGGCGGCCUCUGUAUGGACUCACUCCACCAUAGCUAAGGCAGCGCCACUGCGUCCAGAACACGGUUCAACCUCCAGAACGCUUGUGGCAAGCACCAGAUCGUGAGUUCAAGCAGGUCAACCGCGAGUUGCAUCUACAUCGACAGGUUCUCUUCUUCUUUGUGGGCCUGCACCUUCCGCGUGGGCUGUGGAGGACAGAUGGCGCUGUGCUGUUCGGGCUGCAACAUGACGGGCAGCGGUUCUACUCAGAGCAGCUCUUUCAUGACAACAGGAAUCUUGCCAUCGAUACACACUGAAAGUCGAAAAUGAUGCUUGUAGAAAUAGUUGUUCUAUCAGCUAUUUAUCAAUUUUAAAUCAUGAUAUUCUUCUCAUGGAAGCCUCAAGCGUGGAAGCUAGCGCACAUGUACACACUCAUUCAGGCAUGAACCAAGGAAAAGUUCACAGCAGAAAACUGAAGCUCUAGCACGCGCGCCAGCCGAUGAAGCUCGCCUUAACUCCAUCGCGCAUCGCUAAGUUGCAGGUCUUCUAUAUACAUCCACAAUCAUGUGGAGGUGUGGUUAAGCUGCGAUCUUUAAAGCAUUGUAAGUAUUUUGACUCUUUGAAUGUUGUUGUUUCACAGGAUGUUGGCAAGUUUGGUAUUUACUAUUUUGAAGACAUCGCAGGAAGUUAUUCAACAAACGGUUGCGACCAAGCAAUUUGUCUUCCUGGACAUGGCUCCUUCUGUGCAUCAAAGCUCAAACCAUUUGUCUAGCUUAGUUCGAAGAAAAAUAAAAUCUUAGUCUUAUGUAAAUUCUAUUUAUUGAUGUAGCUAGAUGCAACUCUACGCACAUAUGUGUUUUGUCAGUUCUGUUUAUUGAUGUAGCUGGAUGUUACUGAACGCAUGUAGGUCUUGUGUAAAUUCUGUUUAUUGAUGUAGCUGGAUGCUACUGAACGCUUGAAUGAAUGUUGAAGUAUUGAUAUAUAGUCAUUAUGUGUAUGAGAUCUGCUA